RNAcentral lists this ribosomal RNA (458 nucleotides) under uncultured bacterium. RNAcentral's name for it is "SSU rRNA". It matches the Rfam family "Bacterial small subunit ribosomal RNA", at positions 26 to 518 of the family's 1533-position model. The record is from RNAcentral.
AGAAUCAACGCUGGCGGCGUGCCUAACACAUGCAAGUCGAAUGAGAAAGUCCGCAAGGAUGAGUAAAGUGGCGACCGGGUGAGUAACACGUGACUAACCUACCUUUUAGUGGGGGAUAACUCCGGGAAACCGGGGCUAAUACCGCAUAACAUCGCAAGAUCAAAGCAGCAAUGCGCUGGAAGAGGGGGUCGCGGCUGAUUAGCUAGUUGGCGGGGUAAUGGCCCACCAAGGCGAAGAUUGGUAUCCGGCCUGAGAGGGCGCACGGACACACUGGAACUGAAACACGGUCCAGACUCCUACGGGAGGCAGCAGUGGGGAAUUUUGCGCAAUGGGGGAAACCCUGACGCAGCAACGCCGCGUGGAGGAUGAAGUCCCUUGGGACGUAAACUCCUUUCGACCAAGACGAUAAUGACGGUACUGGUGGAAGAAGCACCGGCUAACUCUGCGCCAGCAGCCGC